This 253-nucleotide ribosomal RNA is filed under the name uncultured bacterium. Its description in RNAcentral is "partial 16S ribosomal RNA". It matches the Rfam family "Bacterial small subunit ribosomal RNA", at positions 524 to 776 of the family's 1533-position model. The record is from RNAcentral.
GACGAACCGAGCGAACGUUAUUCGGAAUCACUGGGCUUAAAGGGCGCGUAGGCGGGCGAUCAAGUCAGGGGUGAAAGCCCCCAGCUCAACUGGGGAAGUGCCUCUGAUACUGGUCAUCUCGAGGGAGGUAGGGGCGUGCGGAACUUCCGGUGGAGCGGUGAAAUGCGUAGAUAUCGGAAGGAACACCGGUGGCGAAAGCGGCGCGCUGGACCUCUUCUGACGCUGAGGCGCGAAAGCCAGGGGAGCGAACGGG